UACGUAGGUGGCGAGCGUUAUCCGGAAUUACUGGGCGUAAAGCGCACGCAGGUGGCUCUUUAAGUUUGGCGUGAAAGCUCCUGGCUUAACUGGGAGAGGUCGUUGAAGACUGAAGAGCUUGAGGCGAUGAGAGGGGUGUAGAAUUCCCGGUGUAGUGGUGGAAUGCGUAGAUAUCGGGAGGAAUACCAGUGGCGAAAGCGACACCCUGGCAUUGGCCUGACACUCAUGUGCGAAAGCGUGGGGAGCGAACGGGAUUAGAUACCCCGGUAGUCCACGCUGUAAACGAUGAACACUAGGUGUAGGUGGUGUGAAAGCUAUCUGUGCCGAAGCCAACGCGUUAAGUGUUCCGCCUGGGGAGUACGGCCGCAAGGCUAAA
RNAcentral lists this ribosomal RNA (376 nucleotides) under uncultured bacterium. RNAcentral describes it as "bacterial SSU rRNA". It matches the Rfam family "Bacterial small subunit ribosomal RNA", at positions 524 to 898 of the family's 1533-position model. The record is from RNAcentral.